Molecule: non-coding RNA, 638 nt
Organism: Mauremys reevesii (Reeves's turtle)
Lineage: Eukaryota; Metazoa; Chordata; Testudines; Geoemydidae
Source: the annotation of a RefSeq genome assembly
UUUUAGCUUCUGACCACCUGACUACAUACAUAGUUUGACUCUUCUAAAAACUUACCCCACACAUCUGCAGGCAGGAGACCUAUCAUUGGAUCCUGCUUAAACAACCCAUUUCCUCUCCCCAGCUGCACCUCUCUCCUCGUCUCUCCAUCUGAGGGGCUAUUUCAGAGUCCUCUGUUUCAAGUUCAACCCAACCAGUGAGAAUGUUACUGCUGCAGGUUCUUAUUGUGACUUCAACAUGGUCUUCUGGAUCUUCGCAAAUAACUCUGACACAAACUCCACUGUCUGUCACCAGAGCGGUAACUAAAAGUGCAUAUAUGUGGUGUAACAUUUCUGGCGGAAGUUUUAAUUUUAAGGAUGAUUAUAUACACUGGUAUCGACAGAGCCCCGGGGCAGCUCCAAAGAGGAUUCUGUAUAUUAGAGGAGAAUUAGUUUCUACAGAUGAAGGCUUUGAUAACAAAAAGUUUAAAGCUGAUAAUUCUGUUUCUGCAUCCACCUCAAAGCUCGCAGUACACAACGUAGCCAGUGAGGAUGCUGCAACCUAUUAUUGUGCCACCUGGGAUGGGCAUUUCUAUGGUGCUGUCACAGUAGUAUCUGGGUACUUAAACACUAAUGAAUUUAUUUUCACAACAGCCCUGUGA